Molecule: long non-coding RNA, 272 nt
Filed under: Chrysemys picta bellii (western painted turtle)
Lineage: Eukaryota; Metazoa; Chordata; Testudines; Emydidae
Description: lncRNA (ENSCPBG00000004057.1)
Source: RNAcentral
GCUAAGAAUUACAGUUAUAUAAGAACACGCAAACUUCCAGUGUCUCCCAUGGCUGGUAUUUUUUGUAUUGCGUAUGUGAUAUUGUGAAAUCUAGGGACCAAAUUCAGCUCUUUGGCAAGCAAGUGGCCUUGUUGACACUUAAAACAGGUCAAAGAAAGAAUAGAUCUCCACUCCAUUUGUGGGUAUCGCGCCCUAUACCUGCUGUGAACCACUGCUGGGACUACACAUUCAAGAAGAUGAUGCAGUUAGAACUGUGUUUCAUCAGAAGCUGA